RNAcentral lists this transfer RNA (71 nucleotides) under Camelus bactrianus (Bactrian camel). It matches the Rfam family "tRNA". Rfam says of the family: Transfer RNA (tRNA) molecules are approximately 80 nucleotides in length. The record is from Rfam by way of RNAcentral. Lineage: Eukaryota; Metazoa; Chordata; Mammalia; Artiodactyla; Camelidae. RNAcentral also lists the same sequence under 2 other names.
GAGGGUAUAGCUCAGUGGCAGAGUGUGUACUUAGCAUGUGUGAGGUCCUGGGUUCAAUCCCCAUUCCCUCC